ACUACCUGCACCAGUACAAUCAAGGACUUAAAAUCACUGUCAGAGCCUGAGGAGAAAAUGUCAUUUGAAAAGAUUUCUCAAGAUUUCAGCACAGAUGGGAAUUCGUUUUCUCAUCGUCAAACAUUUGGACAAGGUGGAAGUAAACCUGCGUUUCCACACCACCGACUGGUUAUACUGAGUCUGAGCCUGCUGAACGCUGCUCUGCUGAUAGCUGCUGUUGUCAUUGGGAUUUACUGUGCCAAAGCCAAAGACUUUCAGAUUACAGAUUCAGCUAUUUCACCCCUGAUCAUUGAAAUGAACCAUCUCCGCAACCACAGUGGCAUCACCAAUGAUAAACUGAAGGCCCAAGCAGCACUGGUGAAAGAGCGCACCAACCAGGUGCAACUAAAGCUGCAGGUGAAGCAGAUAAAGGUCCAAAAUGAAUUCCUUCAGAAACAAAUUGAGACACUAACAAUGGAGAAGUCAAAUCUCCAGUCUAAUAAAACCGUUUUAGAGGAAACCUGUGGCAGAUGCCCACCAGGAUGGAUCCUUCUUAAAACAUUGUGUUAUUAUUUUUCUCACCAUGAAAUAAAUUCCAGAAAGAACUGGACGGAGAGCAGAGAACACUGUGUUAGUCAAGGCGGUGACCUGCUUGUGAUCAAUAGCUUGGAGGAGCAGCUCCUCAUAAUCGACAACUAUCAAAAAGUGAGCAGCUCUGGUAUAUGGUGGCAGAAUGGAUACUGGAUCGGCCUCACUGAUGUGGUGACAGAGGGAACGUGGGUCUGGGUUAACAAUGUGACCGAGGCGGAAGCACUGUACUGGAGAAGCGGACAGCCCGACCGUACUGGGAAUGAGAAGAAGAACUGUGCUGCUUUUAUUUACUUUACCGAUACUAUAAAGACAUGGUAUAAUGUAGACUGUAGCAACCAACAGCUGAACUGGAUCUGUGAGAUGGAGCCAACGGAAAUCACAAGGGGAUAAUAAUGAGGAUAAUGAUAAUAGCAAUAAUGCUACAAAAUCUCUCAAAUAAAUUAGCUGCAACUUGACAUGUGGAACAAUCGUGUAAUACACUGCUGUAAGUGAGCUGUUUGAUAACACUGAACGUAUUUAAUGUCCGCAAUGUCUGUAAUGAUUUUAAGAUGCUCCAUUCUUGACUAAAUGAAAUAAAAAUGCAUCCUCAUAGAAUAUUUUUGAUUCUAAUCUCUAGAUGAUCAGAAAACACUGCUGUUUAAGUGACCUUUACCUCCUGUAAAUGUUUAACAAAUGAACUUGAUUUUCUGUUUGCACUGUUACACACAUGCCCAAACACCUGCGGGGCAACGUCCUAACAAAUAAUCUCUCCCGGGGCGAUCUUUGCUACACUGCUCUCAUCUCAUCAAUUAAAAUGGAUGACAAAGGAAAUAAUGCUGACUUUGAGAGUACUUAUAACAAACUGACUUAUCCAGAGGAAACUGGUGCAGAUGACCACCCUUUCUACUCAAACCGGGAGCGGCAACAAGUGUCCCUGUCCACACUGAGGUCUGCAUCCCCUUUGAAUCAUUACAAAGUGCUUGCAGUGAGCCUGGCAGUGCUCGCUGCCAUUCUGCUAGCAGCUGAUAUAGGCCUGGGAGUCUACU
RNA transcript from Archocentrus centrarchus (flier cichlid), 1595 nucleotides. It is a transcript of the gene named C-type lectin domain family 4 member M-like, with no coding region annotated. Lineage: Eukaryota; Metazoa; Chordata; Actinopteri; Cichliformes; Cichlidae. The record is from RefSeq and is a predicted model, not a curated record. The transcript has 7 exons.